RNAcentral lists this ribosomal RNA (254 nucleotides) under uncultured bacterium. RNAcentral describes it as "partial 16S ribosomal RNA". It matches the Rfam family "Bacterial small subunit ribosomal RNA", at positions 524 to 776 of the family's 1533-position model. The record is from RNAcentral.
UACGUAGGGGGCAAGCGUUGUCCGGAUUUAUUGGGCGUAAAGAGCGUGUAGGCGGCCAUACAGGUCAGCUGUGAAAACUCGAGGCUCAACCUCGAGACGUCGGUUGAAACCGUAUGGCUAGAGUCCGGAAGAGGAGAGUGGAAUUCCCCGGUGUAGCGGUGAAAUGCGCAGAUAUCGGGAAGAACACCCGUGGCGAAGGCGGCUCUCUGGGACGGUACUGACGCUGAGACGCGAAAGCGUGGGGAGCGAACAGG